Molecule: RNA transcript, 2460 nt
Organism: Anopheles arabiensis
Lineage: Eukaryota; Metazoa; Arthropoda; Insecta; Diptera; Culicidae
Exons: 3
Source: RefSeq, a predicted model, not a curated record
CAAGGAACAGCCGCGGGUUAGGCGAAAUUAAACACAACACUCCGAUUUCGGUUGUUCGGUCUCAUUUAUCUUACGCGCUUGUGGAAAAUAUCUCAUCGCAUUGCACUAAAUUUAAAAAAAAAAAGAUUCCAUCACAACCUUUUCGUCGGCAACUUUGACCGACGUGAUAAUGCUAGAAGGGUCAAGUGGAUCGGUGAAGAGAGGAAUAUAAAAGCACCACUAACGUUAUGUUCGUAGCGUUACGAAAGCGUUAUCUCGCACGGCAGAAAACUGAUAGAACCGCUACAUCAUACCGUGUCAUGAUGAUUGAAGCGCGCUGGCUUGUAAUCAUUUUUAGUGCAGAAGCGAACUGGUUGGUUAAAUUAAACUUGGCUCAGCCCUCGGCAGGCGCUCGGUGUGCUGUUUCGUUGCGCUAUGAAACCAUCCAGUGCCGUCCGAAUGUGUUUCGCGUGCUAGUGUGUUUCUCAUUAUUUCAUUAUUUGUGUUUUCUUACUUUACCGGAGUGGAAAAAUCUGUCCGUUUCGUGCUUUGCCUGGGCGGACGUGUGGAUUCGGGAUUUUUGACACGGAACAUUUUCUGUAUCAUCACACCCCGACACUACGUGAUUCUUCUACCGCGGAAGGUGGGAUUUCCUCCGCGUGGCCUAUGUCUGCAAACUUUAUCGGUUGGAAAAUUCCUCUAUUUUUCCGUACGUGUGUGUGUGUGUGUGUGCGUAUGUGUGAGUGUAUGAGCGCCAGUAGAGCAGGGUAUGCAACUUGAUUGCGUGCUGAGUGGCACAAUAAACCCCGCCGCUUGGUCAUCGCGUGACCUCUGGGUGCGAGUGAGUGAGGACGGAAAGCCACAACGCGACCGUUCAUGGCGUCCGCGUUGGAAUGCAGACGUUGGCGGGAUGAUAGGCAAGGUGAUAAAAUCAACCCACUGCUGUAUGGUACCAAUCGAUCGACCUUUGUUCCUUAAAUGUUCAUUAUUAGACCAAUCGAAAAUCGAUCGGGAAGGAAAUAUCUGUUACGCAGCAGAAGAUAGGAAACAGGGACAGAUAAAUGGAGGUCAAGAGAGGAAUAGCGUCGUUGUGUUUUGUGAAUGAAUAUUUAAAAGCAAUUUUAAACUGCACACUGCUAAUCAGCCUUCAAGUGUGCCUUAAUAUGCUCAUUUUGGGUUGCCGAUUGCAUACCUUCUGGCGUACAUAUCACGUCCUUAGUAAAAUCGCAUUGGAGUGUUACUUUGAAAUAUUUAUUAUUCACGACACAAAACAGAAAUGCCGCGUCGGAACAAAGGAAUACCAAAGUGGGUAAAAUACCAACCCUCCCCCACUGAACCGCGUCGAUUAGUCAUGGAAGAGGUCAAAUACACUGUAUACAAAUAUUGAUUGUGCACCGAUGCCCGAUAACAUCAUAUGUAUUGCAUUACGAGCAGGCGACAGGAGCGUCCACACAUGCCACACACCGAUUUCACUAACUCAUCAUGCAUACUGUACGAAGUCUCGGUCGUAUACGGCGGAAGGUCUUGCACAACAUCAUCAUCGUCAUCAUCGCCAACACCACCAUUGGCGUUUCUCUACACCCGACCUUGACCGAUCCUUGAACGGAAGAGGUAGCAAAUGGAGCAUCCUGGGGCGCGGGCGUGGCAAAUAACUGGAGCUAUUUUAUGAACGUGUACUCAACCCACACCCCGACCUGUCGGCCGUCCAGUUCUACGCGACAGCAACGGCAACCAAUGGCUUAGUAGGGAAGGUGAAUGAAGCUAGAAGAAUUAAAAUGUGAUUUUCCUUAAGCUACAGUAAGAGCACAUUACUUUAUGAAAUUGUAAAGUUUGUCGGUUUUAUAAAACGAUAAACAGAUAACUAUAAAAUUAUGCAGUUUGAUGUUAUGUAGGAUAAUUUGCCAAUUGUUGUACUCUUAAGGGAACAGCCAACGUAUUUCAUAUGCUUGAGUUGGAUAAAAUUACAAUGUUCUGGUUAUGUGUGUCUAUUAAACAUGAUUAUUGUUUAUUGUUGUGUGUAUAUUUUAUUUAAGGCAGAAAAAUUAUAAAUAAUGCCAAGAAAUACUGUUUUAUAAACCUCUUCAAAAACCCAAUUGUUGCUCACUUACAACGACUUAAAACUCUAUUAUUGCACCCUACAUAGCCAAUUAUUCCACACUUUCCAAAUACCCUGAAAUAUAAAAAAGAGCCCUGGAAUGAAUGUUUUUUUAAUCGAAAAUCAUAUCAUCAUAUUGAGUGUUUAGGACAAUACGCACGUUAAUGGUAAAUAAAAAACAAUCCAACAAAAAAUCACGACAGUCAAAAUGAUAGCACGAUGAAAAGAGUAGGCUUUGGCCUGCACAAUAAAUAGGAUCGAAGUACUCUCUUUGUUCCAAUUAUUUAACAAUGGAUAAAAAAUUUACUAUAUUUGUUUGAUUUCAUUCAAAAUAUACAGUUUAAAUGCUCCAUAUGGUGAAAUAAACCUUAUUUUGUGAUGCACAA